Long non-coding RNA from Nilaparvata lugens (brown planthopper), 919 nucleotides. RefSeq lists it as uncharacterized. Lineage: Eukaryota; Metazoa; Arthropoda; Insecta; Hemiptera; Delphacidae. The transcript is spliced from 3 exons. The record is from RefSeq and is a predicted model, not a curated record.
GCCCGUCACUUGAAAAAACUUUGGAGCCAGGGAACAUCUGCGUAUCUCUGCCCGUUUUUUUUGCAAUUUAUUCUAGUUCUGGAUUCUAGUCAAAAUAUGUAGUAGAUCAUUGGUUGUGACCAAAUUGUACAUAUUCUCAAGUAUUAUUUUUCUUCUAUUAUGCUUCAAUAAAUUUCAUGUAAAACUAGGGAAGAGAGAGCCAAUACGAAAAUGGCUCGAUUUUAUUCUUGAACAAUUUCCACUUAGAGCGGUUUACGAGUUGACGUCCCACUGCCUUCACAAUCGACCAGGAACCCUCGAAUACGACCGACAAGGAUAAGGACGGCCGCAGUGGAUUCUAACAAUGGGCUCUGUACUACGAACUCGCAGGACGUGUCAGGGACAGUAACAAACCGUCAGUCUCAAUACAGUAACAAACCGUCUCUAAAAUUAAUACAAUACCCAGUACGAUCAACGGAACAAGGGCCUACAACUCUCCAACAAUGCAUCAUAAGAACGAAUGCUCACCGUAGAUUUGUAGAGCUUUGUUUUCUCGUCAAUUUGAUGCAUUAUUUCACUACUUAAAGUUUUCCUUCUAUUGUUAUAACAGAUUCAACAAUUGAUCACUUGACAAUUAAAUUUGAGUCUGGUACAUCUGGUACAAAAUUUUUGACUUUGUAGCUUAAUGAAGACUAGUUGGGAGGUAAACAUAGCAAAAAUACUUAUCUCUAGCCCGUCUGUUGAAGGUGUGGAACUGCUAAGUUGACACUUGUUGCAGAGUUGAAAAUUUCACCCCCCACAUUGAAUCAUAACAAUUCUUUUCUUAUUUACUUUCAAUGUUAUUUAUAUAUUCUGUAAAAGGACGAAGGAGUGAGUCAAUUUUGUUGUCCAACGAACUUUAAUUGUAAAAAGGUUCAAAGAAUACAUGUUUAAAAUUUGA